AGUGACCCUUGCUGUGUCAGCCUUUCUAUGCAUGAUCAGUUUGCUGUGAUCUAUGGAGAACUCCCACCUCAGGAAUUUGAAGCCUGUGGAAUGACUCUGAUGGUGGAAUUUCAAGAAUCAAGGGAGGCAAGUGAAGAUGAAACUUCAAAGCAGCAAAGGUUUCUUAACACCCUUCGAUGUUUAGGACAUAAGUGACCACUUAUUUAUGAGCUGUUCAUGGGUUAAGACUGAUCCUAGAGGUUGAUGGAAGAAGGCUAAUAAUGAAUCUCUUUGGCAUCGUCUAAUACAAGGUUCAUGUACUCAUCAAAACCAAUGAUACAGCCCUCUAUCCGCAUGUUUACUUGCUCAUAAAGCCACACCUGAAUCCGAGAUCUAUUUUGCAAGUAUCUGAAGAUGAAUUUGAUGGCUGAACCAUCACCUUCUGCACUUUUUGGCCCUGGCCACAGUACGCCAUGGUGGAAGCUGACAAAGACCGGUAUAUAAAAAUGUUUUCUAAGACGGAGAGUUCUUCUAUAGACAUUUCAGAAGAAGCACUACUAUUUUAUCUAGAAGGUGAAGAAAUACUUAGCACAAAGCCACCAUUGCAAUCUGUGGCAGGGUAGGUAGAUGAAAUGCUUCUUUUUGCUUGAGGGGUUGGCCAACAAUGUUUGAGGUAAUUAUAACUUAUUUCUUGCUUAAAGGAAAAGGUGAAAGGACUUGAGGAACACUUCUGUGUACUCCACACUGUGAGAAGGAUGUGUUGAAGAACUAACACACAAAAAAAGCUAGAUUAAAAAAACAAGGGGGAGGAGAAGGGAAAUGUUUGUCAACAAGUAGAUGUGAUGAACUAUCUUUUCCCAUUGGUAGAAAUUAGGCUUAUUCAUAGUUCUUUUUGAUUUGGUUUUUAAAUUUGCAUCCUUCUGUUAGAGCAUUGCUCUAGUUGUUUUAUACCUAUUUCUUUAAGUGUGCCUACCCCCGCUAUGUUGUGAAUUACAUGAGGCCAUGCAUUUUCUUUUCUCCUAUCCUUAGCAUCAAGCUGGAUACAGAAUAGAUCCUCAACAAGUGACUCAUGAAUGACUGAAAUUAUUUUUUACACUAUAGAAUUUUAGUUCUAAAACAGUCACUUCCCUGGGAAUGGGACAUCCCUGUGGGUCAUCUCAGAUAAUUUAGGAGGUGAGUAGAAGUAAUAAGCUGAUCUGAGUAGGGCUAGAUUAUUGACUAGUUAAGGAACAUAACCUCUUUUACCAUAAAUUGACAAUUUGAAACAUGAAUAUGAUGAAUUUAGCCAAAGAUGAUACCUUGAGGCAAAGAAGGUUAUACAAAAUCGAAUAUUAUCACAAGAAUAAGAUUCCAGAAAUACAUGUUUCUAGCAGGGCUGGCUUCAUGGGAGUGCAGCCUGUGUAGUCACAUGGAAUCCUAUAGUCAGAGGCCCUGCAUGUGGCCUAUGGUGUCCGAUUGCAGUCUUGAAAUUCUUAAUAAGUUUUGAACAGAGACCUACAAUUUCAUUUUUCAUUGGACCCUGUGAAUUCAGUAGCUAGUCCUGGCUACUAAUAAGAUGAUGGGAACCAUGAGGGCCAUGAUCAGAGAAGCUGCACUGGAUAGUAUCUGAGAAGAGCUAGGGAAGAAACAAGCAUGGGUUAUAAGAAGAACUCAUCUUACUUUGCCUCUGAGUGUGUUGCAGGCACUGUACAGGGCGCAUUUCUCAGGAGGGUGAAUGAUAGGGCCACUGGUCAAGAAAGGAUGGGUAUCCUCUGGGAGAGGAGUAUUCAGGGAGUUAAAAAGGAAGACCCUUUUCUCUGGGAGAAUGGGAAAGACAAAAAGGAGAGCUUGCAGGGAUGGAAGACUGGGAUAGUCUCAGAAAGAGGGAGGACAUACCUGCAAACUCAGAAUGAAAUAACCUGAAGUGCAGAGAAGGAAUCAUUAGGUAUUUCUAUU
RNAcentral lists this long non-coding RNA (1914 nucleotides) under Canis lupus familiaris (dog). RNAcentral's name for it is "lncRNA (ENSCAFG00000053379.1)". The record is from RNAcentral. Lineage: Eukaryota; Metazoa; Chordata; Mammalia; Carnivora; Canidae.